Molecule: long non-coding RNA, 341 nt
Organism: Syngnathus acus (greater pipefish)
Lineage: Eukaryota; Metazoa; Chordata; Actinopteri; Syngnathiformes; Syngnathidae
Exons: 3
Source: RefSeq, a predicted model, not a curated record
ACAACAACUUGUGAGCAUGUGCAGUAGAAGAAGACAACGAAGAAGAAGAAGAAAACUGAGCUGCAGCUCCACUCUGCUGAGCAGUCGAGAAGGAGAAGAAAAAAAAAGGCUGUGAGCAGAAGGCCGCUGACGACAUCUCGCCAUCGCUUCCCGAUCUGUAGCCUGUGUUUACUUGUCUUCUGGGGGUCAAGCCCAACCCAACGUGCAAUCAGGAAGUGUCUCACCAAUCACUGGACAUGGGCAACAAUACAGGGGAUCCUCAGUGUCAGUAUCUGGAGGUGUUCCUCAGGGUGACACCGAAGUAACACCACAUCCAGAAGAACUUGAAACUUGAAGGCCAG